AGAGUUUGAUCCUGGCUCAGAUUGAACGCUGGCGGCAUGCCUAACACAAGCAAGUCGAACGGUAACAGGAUGUGCUUGCACAUCGCUGACGAGUGGCGGACGGGUGAGUAAUGCUUGGGAACUUGCCUUUGCGAGGGGGAUAACAGUUGGAAACGACUGCUAAUACCGCAUAAUGUCUAUGGACCAAAGGGGGCUUCGGCUCUCGCGUGAAGAGAGGCCCAAGUGAGAUUAGCUAGUUGGUGAGGUAAAGGCUCACCAAGGCGACGAUCUCUAGCUGUUCUGAGAGGAAGAUCAGCCACACUGGGACUGAGACACGGCCCAGACUCCUACGGGAGGCAGCAGUGGGGAAUAUUGCACAAUGGGGGAAACCCUGAUGCAGCCAUGCCGCGUGUGUGAAGAAGGCCUUCGGGUUGUAAAGCACUUUCAGUUGUGAGGAAAGGUUGGUAGUUAAUACCUGCCAGCUGUGACGUUAACAACAGAAGAAGCACCGGCUAACUCCGUGCCAGCAGCCGCGGUAAUACGGAGGGUGCGAGCGUUAAUCGGAAUUACUGGGCGUAAAGCGCACGCAGGCGGUUUGUUAAGCUAGAUGUGAAAGCCCCGGGCUCAACCUGGGAUGGUCAUUUAGAACUGGCAGACUAGAGUCUUGGAGAGGGGAGUGGAAUUCCAGGUGUAGCGGUGAAAUGCGUAGAGAUCUGGAGGAACAUCAGUGGCGAAGGCGACUCCCUGGCCAAAGACUGACGCUCAUGUGCGAAAGUGUGGGUAGCGAACAGGAUUAGAUACCCUGGUAGUCCACACCGUAAACGCUGUCUACUA
RNAcentral lists this ribosomal RNA (813 nucleotides) under uncultured bacterium. RNAcentral's name for it is "bacterial SSU rRNA". It matches the Rfam family "Bacterial small subunit ribosomal RNA", at positions 8 to 818 of the family's 1533-position model. The record is from RNAcentral.